CGUCAACCGAAAUUGCGUAGUUGCUUGAGGUUGUGGGAAAUCUAUGCCAUGUAUGCUGUGCAAUUAAUUAGUGGGUCCCUUGUCACAACAGGAUGGAGUGUCCUUAGGUUGCAGAUGUGGGACACAACCUUCACGUAUGGAGGGUAGCUGUGAAUAAAUGAAGUAGUCCUGGACAACCGACAAGAAGGGGUCCUCCAUCCUGUUGGUUGGGUGUGGGGCUAACAACUCGUCACAGUAAGAGGUGCAGGAGGAAAGAUCCUCCAUCCACUGAAUACCUUCAUCAUCUUUAGUAAUGAAUGGUGCAAGAAGUUGGCGACACUGGAUCCCAAGGAUGGGAAUAAAGACACCUUGUGACUUCGUAAUGUGGAGAUUGAUGAAGGCAGAAGAGAAAGACGAGUACAUGCACAUGGCGCACAAAGCACAUUUAGAGUACCACGGGAAGAAAUUCCUAGUCUACAGUGUGGACAGGAUGACCAACAUUAACCAUUAGAUGAACUGUUCAGAAGCGGUCCAUUUAUUUCAUGAGGAAGUCCCAGAAGCUGGUCCUCUGAUAAACUGUGGUGAUUGUGUGGACAGUAAGUCAUCUCACAUGCAAGAGAAGAAUGAGAAACGUAUUGUCUACUGGGUAGUUCUUGAGUGUGGAACUUGGUCACUUGCUACAACUGGUUGUUCUUGUGAACCUUGUGGACUUCCCACAAAAUCAUUAGUGAUAUGCACUCCAUCAUGAAGGCCACUAAGGAUUGGACCAUGGGCUGUGGCAGGAUAAUUCCUGAUAAUAUGUUCACCUCCAGAGCAGAGUCUACAUUUCACACCUUGUCCAGUAGUGGGCAGAGCCAGAAGACAACAUAUCAUCACCUUCUGAGGAUCCAACAACAACUACAAAAUGAAGGAAACACAGGCUCACAAAUUGGUUCUCCAAAGAAUUACUAUGAUCUCUUGAAGGUGUGGUGUAGCUGCUUUGCCAAAUAUACCUUUUAGUACAGCUAUACACCGACCCACUGUGACAUCAUCAGUGACCUUUUCUGUAAUGGCAGCAACCUUGUCUGCCACUAAUACAAGAAGAAUUGGAGCACGAUAAAAGUUCCAGAACAGAAACAGCUGACCCCUGCUUGGUGUUGUGAUGUCAUUUCCAAACGAACUUUGUUAUUUAUCUGAUGUUGACACCGUUCUUUCGUGAAGAUGACAUAUCAAGUGGAAAUCUUUUAUACAGUUCUUGGGUAUCCCAGCAUGGAGACAGUCGUUGCCAUUUCUCCAGCUGCCUCUCAAAUAAGCUGCAAAUCAAAGAUAAUUUUUGAGGGAAACUUCUGGGAAAAGUAAUGGAAGCUGUGGUUAAAGCUUUACCAUCCAUAGCAGUGGUGUUGUGACAGUUGGAAGACAUCUUGAAUUUAACUAAUGGUGAGUAGCGUAUUGUCUUGUGUUAGUGACUAGACAUGUAUUCUUUGCUUAUUGGAUUUACUGAACCCUUAAAUUAGUCUGAUUUAAUUUACAUGCUUUAGAAGCAAAUAUGGCAUGCACUAAAUCUCAGUUUGUUAUAGUCUUCACUGGUUGCUGAUAUGUUACUUCAAAGUCACAUUGCGACCAAUGGCCAAUUUGUCUGUCUUGGUGCUUAGUUAAUAUCUGACAGUUGCGAUUUUUUUCAGUAUAGGUAAGGUUACCAUAUUUUGAAACUUAAAAAUGAGGACACAUUACGAGGGUUACCAUAUUUUGAAACUUAAAAAUGAGGACACCAUACAUACAAAUCGAGCCGUACCAGCCCCUAUGUAACUUCUAACACACACAAUUCACACAAUGGUCAAUGAUACAAAGUCAUUUACUUUCAAACAAUUAAUGUAAAGUCACUUACUUCAUUAUUUGAUAUACUAAACUUGGAAUGCAUAAAAACUUUAACCCUUGUUCCCCGAAGGACACCGUAUGGGGACCUUUAAAGUAAAGCCGAGUGGCCGAAAGACACCGUGUGGUGACUUGCAGUCCACGCAUACGCACAGUGUUUUAA
This is a long non-coding RNA of Cryptotermes secundus, 1993 nucleotides long. RefSeq lists it as uncharacterized. Lineage: Eukaryota; Metazoa; Arthropoda; Insecta; Blattodea; Kalotermitidae. The record is from RefSeq and is a predicted model, not a curated record. The transcript is spliced from 6 exons.